UACGAAGGGGGCUAGCGUUGUUCGGAAUCACUGGGCGUAAAGCGCACGUAGGCGGAUUGUUAAGUCAGGUGUGAAAUCCUGGAGCUCAACUCCAGAACUGCCUUUGAUACUGGCGAUCUCGAGUCCGGGAGAGGUGAGUGGAACUGCGAGUGUAGAGGUGAAAUUCGUAGAUAUUAGCAAGAACACCAGUGGCGAAGGCGGCUCACUGGCCCGGUACUGACGCUGAGGUGCGAAAGCGUGGGGAGCAAACAGG
Molecule: ribosomal RNA, 253 nt
Filed under: uncultured bacterium
Lineage: Bacteria
Description: partial 16S ribosomal RNA
Rfam family: Bacterial small subunit ribosomal RNA
Source: RNAcentral